UAGCAUAUCAAUAAGCGGAGGAAAAGAAACCAACAGGGAUUGCCCUAGUAACGGCGAGUGAAGCGGCAACAGCUCAAAUUUGAAAUCUGGCUCUUUCAGAGUCCGAGUUGUAAUUUGCAGAGGGCGCUUUGGCGUUGGCAGCGGUCCAAGUUCUUUGGAACAGGACGUCACAGAGGGUGAGAAUCCCGUACGUGGUCGCUAGCCUUCGCCGUGUAAAGCCCCUUCGACGAGUCGAGUUGUUUGGGAAUGCAGCUCUAAAUGGGAGGUAAAUUUCUUCUAAAGCUAAAUAUUGGCCAGAGACCGAUAGCGCACAAGUAGAGUGAUCGAAAGAUGAAAAGCACUUUGGAAAGAGAGUCAAAUAGCACGUGAAAUUGUUGAAAGGGAAGCGCUUGCAGCCAGACUUGCCUGUAGUUGCUUAUCCGGACUUUUGUCCGGUGCACUCUUCUGCGGGCAGGCCAGCAUCAGUUUGGGCGGUUGGAUAAAGGUCUCUGUCAUGUACCUCCUUUCGGGGAGGCCUUAUAGGGGAGACGACAUGCAACCAGCCUGGACUGAGGUCCGCGCAUCUGCUAGGAUGCUGGCGUAAUGGCUGUAAGCGGCCCGUCUUGAAACACGGACCAAGGAGUCUAACAUCUAUGCGAGUGUUUGGGUGUCAAGCCCAGACGCGUAAUGAAAGUGAACGGAGGUGGGAACCUUUUAGGUGCACCAUCGACCGAUCCUGAUGUCUUCGGAAGGAUUUGAGUAAGAGCAUGGCUGUUGGGACCCGAAAGAUGGUGAACUAUGCUUGAAUAGGGUGAAGCCAGAGGAAACUCUGGUGGAGGCUCGCAGCGGUUCUGACGUGCAAAUCGAUCGUCAAAUUUGGGCAUAGGGGCGAAAGACUAAU
This 880-nucleotide ribosomal RNA is filed under the name Didymocyrtis cladoniicola. Its description in RNAcentral is "LSU rRNA". It matches the Rfam family "Eukaryotic large subunit ribosomal RNA", at positions 36 to 935 of the family's 3401-position model. Lineage: Eukaryota; Fungi; Ascomycota; Dothideomycetes; Pleosporales; Phaeosphaeriaceae. The record is from RNAcentral.